AUCCUGGUGCACGGGUUUUACACGUAUCAGUGAGGAGAAAUCCGAGAUCGUGUGUUUGCUAGUUGAAAACUACCAAUUGACUACUUCAAGUAGGCCUUCGGGUCCGCUUGGGAAUUUUUGAAACCUUCCUUGAAG
This 135-nucleotide small nuclear RNA is filed under the name Penicillium griseofulvum. Its description in RNAcentral is "U4 spliceosomal RNA". It matches the Rfam family "U4 spliceosomal RNA". Rfam says of the family: U4 small nuclear RNA (U4 snRNA) is a component of the major U2-dependent spliceosome. The structure of U4 snRNA from yeast and human has been reported. U4 snRNA presents a k-turn RNA motif in the 5p-SL related to recognition of Snu13 protein. Lineage: Eukaryota; Fungi; Ascomycota; Eurotiomycetes; Eurotiales; Aspergillaceae. The record is from Rfam by way of RNAcentral.